Molecule: long non-coding RNA, 324 nt
Organism: Chinchilla lanigera (long-tailed chinchilla)
Lineage: Eukaryota; Metazoa; Chordata; Mammalia; Rodentia; Chinchillidae
Exons: 2
Source: RefSeq, a predicted model, not a curated record
GCCGCUGCGUGCAGCUCACUGCCACCUUUAACUUCCAGUCAGUCUCACCAUCAAGCUGGUCUGUUCGAAUAAAGCAUGAACCUAGAAGCUGGACUAAAACUCAAGAGGCUUCUGCCCUUUGGAUUGGGUUGGUCAUCUAAGAGAACAACUCCUGUAAGAAAAGGCUGGCUCCUCAUUAUUCUUCACCUACAAUAUUUCAAGACAAUGAGGUAGCACUCUAUCACCACAUGGUGCCUAUGAAGGAGGGAAGCAGAAGAGCUGCAGUAAUGGCAAGUUUCAAUGCAAUGCAAUUAUUGUUAUUAAAGAAUCUGGAAUUACCCACAA